CCUACGGGAGGCUGCAGUGGGGAAUAUUGCACAAUGGGCGCAAGCCUGAUGCAGCCAUGCCGCGUGUGUGAAGAAGGCCUUCGGGUUAUAAAGCACUUUCAGCGGGGAGGAAGGCGUUAAGGUUAAUAACCUUGUCGAUUGACGUUACCCGCAGAAGAAGCACCGGCUAACUCCGUGCCAGCAGCCGCGGUAAUACGGAGGGUGCAAGCGUUAAUCGGAAUUACUGGGCGUAAAGCGCACGCAGGCGGUCUGUCAAGUCGGAUGUGAAAUCCCCGGGCUCAACCUGGGAACUGCAUUCGAAACUGGCAGGCUAGAGUCUUGUAGAGGGGGGUAGAAUUCCAGGUGUAGCGGUGAAAUGCGUAGAGAUCUGGAGGAAUACCGGUGGCGAAGGCGGCCCCCUGGACAAAGACUGGCGCUCAGGUGCGAAAGCGUGGGGAGCAAACAGGAUUAGAUACCCCGGUAGUC
RNAcentral lists this ribosomal RNA (465 nucleotides) under uncultured Klebsiella sp. RNAcentral describes it as "bacterial SSU rRNA". It matches the Rfam family "Bacterial small subunit ribosomal RNA", at positions 338 to 795 of the family's 1533-position model. The record is from RNAcentral. Lineage: Bacteria; Pseudomonadati; Pseudomonadota; Gammaproteobacteria; Enterobacterales; Enterobacteriaceae.